This 494-nucleotide ribosomal RNA is filed under the name uncultured bacterium. Its description in RNAcentral is "partial 16S ribosomal RNA". It matches the Rfam family "Bacterial small subunit ribosomal RNA", at positions 28 to 507 of the family's 1533-position model. The record is from RNAcentral.
GACGAACGCUGGCGGCGUGCUUAACACAUGCAAGUCGAACGGUGAAGCGCCUUCCUUUUUGGUGGGUGUGGAUGAGUGGCGAACGGGUGAGUAACACGUGAGUAACCUGCCCCCUUCUUCUGGAUAACCGCAUGAAAGUGUGGCUAAUACGGGAUAUUCUGGGUCUGUCGCAUGAUGGGUCUGGGAAAGAUAUUGUUUCGGUGGGGGAUGGGCUCGCGGCCUAUCAGCUUGUUGGUGGGGUGAUGGCCUACCAAGGCGGUGACGGGUAGCCGGCCUGAGAGGGCGGACGGUCACACUGGGACUGCGACACGGCCCAGACUCCUACGGGAGGCAGCAGUGGGGAAUAUUGCACAAUGGGCGCAAGCCUGAUGCAGCGACGCCGCGUGAGGGAUGGAGGCCUUCGGGUUGUGAACCUCUUUCGCCAGUGAAGCAGGCCUGCCUCGUUUGUGGGUGGGUUGACGGUAGCUGGAUAAGAAGCGCCGGCUAACUACGUG